CUGACAACUUCUCUGCACUACCAUGAAGUAAUUAGCUGUCAACAAACUAAAGCAGCUGCAUUUCGACAACUAUUUCCUCACUUAAAGGGCAACAUGCAUAGAUAACAGACUUGAGAUUUAACGGAGAGAUGUUACAGAUUUUUUGAACAGUUGUUUUGGACCGAAGAAGAAUUACCAGGAGUUGUAUUGUUGACUUACUAGCUCAGUAGCUAACGUUAGCUAAGUUAGCUCGAUAGCUUAUUGAAUUGAACUGGUUCAGCCAGUUUAGCUCCUAUUUAUUUUAUUUUUAUUUUUCUCUAAGGUAGCAGUCACCGAAACAGUCGUUUGGACAGUUUGGUGCCUCCUUAAGUUCCUGCCAUGGCUGACAGCAGCAUAGUGACUUUAGGGACGGCUCGAAGUCUGCUGGUGGAUUCUUCGGUCUAUGAUUCAAGGAUCGCCGAAACCACGAAGGACCAUGUAUUUCUGGGCAUGGCAUGUGAAGAUGGGGAAGAUAUGCUGCCAAAAGUGGAGACGAGGGUUGUUCUGGUGGGAGAAGCGGGCAGAAAUGGAGCGCUGGUCAAAGCACUGCAGGUACAUCA
Long non-coding RNA from Morone saxatilis (striped sea-bass), 578 nucleotides. RefSeq lists it as uncharacterized. The record is from RefSeq and is a predicted model, not a curated record. The transcript is spliced from 3 exons. Lineage: Eukaryota; Metazoa; Chordata; Actinopteri; Moronidae.